AAGCUAGGCUAUGUUUGUCCCCUGUGGCACUUUAUAAACCAGCGGCCAAGGGACAAGUUACAUUAUAGAUGAAGUUGCGUGACGUUGGCCGUCUCGACCACGCGUGUCCGAUGUUGACUCUGGGUAGCCGGCUGGUCGGAGCAGCCGACCGCGGGUGGGUAUCGGAGCAGCCGGCCCGGGCGGGCAUGCACCCUGUCCGACUCACCGUCUUUAGGGUACCCUGGGGUCAACCCCCCGACAAUCUAUGAUCACAAUAUAAGGUCGUUAUCACAUAGAUGGUACGCCAUCCAGACCUCCGUCCCCAAGUUUUGUGGCGUGGUUGAUAUGUUGGAGGAAGGUGGUCAUUGCACGAGGUAGAGGAAGUGAUCGUAAGUUUUGCUUCUUUUCGCUCAACUUGUUGAUUGACUCGUUCAUUCAUUCAAUAUUGCUAUACAUGUUGUGUAGCCCGCACACGCUAUCAUGAUGUACCAUAAAGGAGUAACCAUUUAUGUGCAUGCACUGUUGAAUGAAGCUGAGGGUACAGUAUGUGUGGGACAACAAUAUACGUUCGUGAAAAACUUGGGACAACAAUAUACGUUCAUGAAAAACUUGUUGAAUAUCCAUUUAAUCUCGUUGAAUUAGAAUUAUUAUUGUACUAGACUUACUUGCGUUAAUUUCUAUCCGUACUUUGACGAUAUAAGUCGUGUUUACAUGAAUUUCGUUCGAUUAGUUAAAACUCGACUUAAAAUAUAUGCGUACAGCAUGGAAAGACCGGCUCGCAUAUUCGUGUGUUCGAACUAGUUUUCUCUCGUUUGUGGGCGGAUGUCGGAACAAAUCUGCGUGAUGCCCUUAAAGCUGUAGCAAACUUUUAGAGUUAAUAGCACCCAGGUCUACAAACUUGACGAGUUUGUAAAUUGUUGUGUUAAGCAUACUGAUCUAGAUUAUCUCAUUCAAUCACACAAACUGCUUACGGAGAUGCACUGUCUUGUGAACGAGAAAAAACAACAAAAAGAGGUAAACGGCAGGGUUGUGCCAUUUGACUGAUCCGUUGGAUGCCUUCUCCUCGUAGUAUCAUCCCUUGUUAUUUUUUUAACAUAGUACAUAUGUAAAUGUUUAUAUAUAUGUACAUACGUUCAUUUCUAUGAAUGUAUACAUGCACACCCUAUUUUUAUGAACAUCUUCGCAAGAUUGAGCCGACAUAUCAUCUUGAAAUUUACGGAGUCAUUGUAGUCACCUCGUCGUCGACAAAAUGUCUCCUUCCACUAAAUGCGCAUCGUAGAAAAUUUUGAAAUAAAUUCAGAAAUAAAUGCGAGCACGAGGAUUGAACUUUGAUGGACUGAAGAUACUACAGUCUCUUUAACCAUCCAAUCACAGGUUGGUUCAUGACUCCCCAUUGCUAUGUAAUGUUGAUCCAUUCUAAGCCCACAUACUUGCAAUUUGGUUGUAUAAUGUGUGAUUGUGCGAUGACAUGCCCUUCCUUUGAUUUUUCCCCGUGGCAGGUUCGGUUGUCAUGGCAGCGCUUUUGAGUCGUGCCUUGUUUGCUUCCUUGUUGCUGCCAUGGUAGCGCUUUUGCUAGGCGUCAUUGUAGCCGGAGUUGGGACGCUGACAUCCCCUCCUUGAAACAUGGCUUGCCCCUAAUAUGGUGGAUUUGAAAAGUGUUCCUUCAACCUGUUGGCAUCCUCUCAUUUUGCAUCGAGAACGACUUGAUUAGACCAACGAAUAAGUAGUUGCUCGUGCCGUCCAAAAGGGUUCUACGCUAGCGGCUUGUCGUGAUUUCCAUUGGGAUGAGUAUCGCACCUGAUAGCUAGGGAAGCUCAGGAGUUGCCACUAUACCUCAGGUAUGAGCUAGCCUGAGUUGGGUAACAUGGAAAACAUUGUGUACUUACAUUGGAUCCAUCUCACAGUUCAGGUCUGUAUACCACAGGAUUGAUAGCUUGCAGAACUUUGAAGGGGGCAAAGUAUCUCAAUGAAACCUUGUGAUUGGCCCGUCGCUCUAUCGAUGUUUGGUCGUACUAAUGUAGUUUGACAAAGACUCGAUCACUAGGCUGGAAGUGCAUGGUGACCACCACAAGGAUAUAGUUGAACUUGUUGGAUUGGGGCAAUCCGUCAAUAAAGUUCAUCGUGACCACUUUCCAAACUCCUUCUCAUAAUGGUAACGAUUCGGAAAGUCUUGGGUAUUUCACCCUCUCGGGUUUUCCCUAUUGACAGACAUCACAUGAUUGCACAUAAUUCUCGAAACA
RNAcentral lists this long non-coding RNA (2219 nucleotides) under Hordeum vulgare. RNAcentral's name for it is "long non-coding RNA (HVUL_LNC011703)". The record is from RNAcentral. Lineage: Eukaryota; Viridiplantae; Streptophyta; Magnoliopsida; Poales; Poaceae.